RNA transcript from Gossypium raimondii (Peruvian cotton), 1377 nucleotides. It is a transcript of the gene named EH domain-containing protein 1, with no coding region annotated. The transcript is spliced from 10 exons. NCBI's taxonomy places the organism in Eukaryota, Viridiplantae, Streptophyta, Magnoliopsida, Malvales, Malvaceae. The record is from RefSeq and is a predicted model, not a curated record.
UCCCUCCUCUUCUCAUCUCCAUCGCGUGCCCUAAAUAUAAAAGUUUGUACUUAAAUCUUUUUCCCUUUUAAUCUCAAAAUUCCAUGAGUUCCUUUGCCCCAACAUCAAAUCCCUAAACCUUUUCUUUUUCUCUCCAUGAAUUUAUAUAUAUAUAUAUGCAUAUAACAAAUGAUUCAUUGAUUUGGGAUCGGUUACUGCUCUAAAGAACACCAGAAAAUUUAUCAAGAGUGGUUCAACUUCGUUGAUUCAGAUAAUGAUGGACGCAUUACUGGAAAUGAUGCAAUCAAGUUUAUUGGUAUGUCAAAUUUAUCGCGACCAGAUCUCAAGCAGCUACAUUCUUGUUUUGAUUCCUUAAUGGUGUGGACAACUGUUGAUUCUAAGAGGCAGAGAUUUCUUGGUUUCAAAGAAUUUGUUUUUGCUAUGCAGCUGGUUUCGCUGGUGCAAGAAGGUCAUCAAAUAUCACAUGAUCUCCUGAAUGGUGAUGUAGACUUUGAGAAUAUUAGACCUCCUGUAAUGGAAGGCUUAGAUACAUUAAUCAUGAGAAAGAAACAAUCUUCAAAGUCAAGUAGCCUUGAAAGCAAUGGUAGUUCUUCAAAUCAAACAUCACCUGCAUCUCAAUUGUUUUCUUCAAAAUCAUCAAAGAAGAUAUCUUUGUCCUCUGUGACUUCAAUUAUAGACGGCUUAAAGAGAUUGUACCUUUAGAAGUUGAAGCCUUUAGAAGUUACAUAUCAUUUUAAUGAUGUUGUAUCCCCAUUGUUGACAAAUAGUGAUUUUAUAUGCCCUUCGCCUUUACCAAAACCAACAGCCUCCACUUGUUCUUCACCAUGGAACCAAUGAUCUUCGCCUUUAUCAAAAUAGGUGUAGUUUAUAAGUUUAAAUCGCCUUUAUCAAAGUUUAAUAUAAGCAAGUUAGAGAGGAAUCAAGAAAGGGAGCACUUCAUCUAGGAUACAAACAAGCUUUGGCUUUUUGAGUCGUGAAUUUCUAUAGCAAGAAGGGCAUACUGCCUUCGCAACAAAGGAAGAGGCAGACAUUGAGUUUGUGGCUGAAGGCUUCAGUGCAAGACCUUGCUUCUCGUGCAGCUGGUCAAGCCAUGGCUGAAGCUGUAAAAAGCAUCAGCCUCCAAAUACAGUAUAUCAAUUUGAGGUUUCCUGUAGAGCCCUAUCUAGUGACCGUUCGCUACAGGCUCAUCUUCUGAAGGUCUCUGUUAGUUCAUAUUUUCUAUUUCUAUUUUACAUAAUAAGGCACCUAUAUGGGGUCCUUUAAGAUGAAUGUCCAUGUGAAUGUUAUUAUUUCUCGUCCAAGUCUCUUCAUUUGUCCUUGUAUACUAGCUUCUUUAACCAUGAUUGUUAAUUAUUACGUGUUUUGUAGCUUCUUUUA